Molecule: non-coding RNA, 85 nt
Organism: Oscillibacter sp. CAG:241
Lineage: Bacteria; Bacillati; Bacillota; Clostridia; Eubacteriales; Oscillospiraceae
Source: Rfam
UGGAUGGACUCGGGAGAGACCGCGCUCUGCGCGGCGCCGAAGGGGAACGCAGAAGCUCUCAGGCAAAAGGGACCGGGUCCGGACG